This 947-nucleotide ribosomal RNA is filed under the name bacterium KhTSCl2. RNAcentral's name for it is "bacterial SSU rRNA". It matches the Rfam family "Bacterial small subunit ribosomal RNA", at positions 392 to 1359 of the family's 1533-position model. The record is from RNAcentral.
GCACGCCGCGUGAGUGAUGAAGGCCUUCGGGUCGUAAAGCUCUUUGAUCAGGGAUGAUAAUGACAGUACCUGAAAAACAAGCCACGGCUAACUACGUGCCAGCAGCCGCGGUAAUACGUAGGUGGCGAGCGUUGUCCGGAAUUACUGGGCGUAAAGGAUGCGUAGGUGGAUACUUAAGUGGGAUGUGAAAUCCCCGGGCUCAACCCGGGAACUGCAUUCCAAACUGGGUAUCUAGAGUGCAGGAGAGGAAAGCGGAAUUCCUAGUGUAGCGGUGAAAUGCGUAGAUAUUAGGAGGAACACCAGUGGCGAAGGCGGCUUUCUGGACUGUAACUGACACUGAGGCAUGAAAGCGUGGGUAGCAAACAGGAUUAGAUACCCUGGUAGUCCACGCCGUAAACGAUGGGUACUAGGUGUAGGAGGUAUCGACCCCUUCUGUGCCGUCGUUAACACAAUAAGUACCCCGCCUGGGGAGUACGGUCGCAAGACUAAAACUCAAAGGAAUUGACGGGGGCCCGCACAAGCAGCGGAGCAUGUGGUUUAAUUCGAAGCAACGCGAAGAACCUUACCUAGACUUGACAUCUCCUGAAUUACCCUUAACCGGGGAAGCCCUUCGGGGCAGGAAGACAGGUGGUGCAUGGUUGUCGUCAGCUCGUGUCGUGAGAUGUUGGGUUAAGUCCCGCAACGAGCGCAACCCUUAUUUUUAGUUGCUACCAUUCAGUUGAGCACUCUAAAGAGACUGCCCGGGUUAACCGGGAGGAAGGUGGGGAUGACGUCAAAUCAUCAUGCCCCUUAUGUCUAGGGCUACACACGUGCUACAAUGGUGAGAACAAAGAGACGCGAGACCGCGAGGUGGAGCANAUCUCAUAANACUCAUCCCAGUUCGGAUUGCAGGCUGAAACUCGCCUGCAUGAAGCCGGAGUUGCUAGUAAUCGCGAAUCAGCAUGUCC